AGAGUUUGAUCAUGGCUCAGGACAAACGCUGGCGGCGUGCGUAACACAUGCAAGUCGGACGGGGUGCUUGGCUUCGGCUGAGGAUCCAGUGGCGGACGGGUGCGUAACACGUGGAUGACCUACCUGCGGUGGGGGAUAGCCUGCGGAAACGCGGGAUAAUACCGCAUGUGGUGCCGGGCGGCGACGUCUGGCAGGAAAGC
RNAcentral lists this ribosomal RNA (200 nucleotides) under uncultured bacterium. RNAcentral's name for it is "partial 16S ribosomal RNA". It matches the Rfam family "Bacterial small subunit ribosomal RNA", at positions 8 to 207 of the family's 1533-position model. The record is from RNAcentral.